GUCUAUGGCCACACCGCCCUGAACAUGCCCGAUCUCGUCUGAUCUCGGAAGCUAAGCAGGGUCGGGCCUGGUUCGUACUUGGAUGGCAGAAGAGCUCAGGGAACUCCUUGCACAGGCA
Molecule: ribosomal RNA, 118 nt
Filed under: Prolemur simus (greater bamboo lemur)
Lineage: Eukaryota; Metazoa; Chordata; Mammalia; Primates; Lemuridae
Source: RNAcentral